ACGGGUGAGGAAUGCGUCGGAAUCUGCCUAUUUGUGGGGGAUAACGUAGGGAAACUUACGCUAAUACCGCAUACGACCUACGGGUGAAAGUGGGGGACCGCAAGGCCUCACGCAGAUAGAUGAGCCGACGCCGGAUUAGCUAGUUGGCGGGGUAAAGGCCCACCAAGGCGACGAUCCGUAGCUGGUCUGAGAGGAUGAUCAGCCACACUGGAACUGAGACACGGUCCAGACUCCUACGGGAGGCAGCAGUGGGGAAUAUUGGACAAUGGGCGCAAGCCUGAUCCAGCCAUGCCGCGUGUGUGAAGAAGGCCUUCGGGUUGUAAAGCACUUUUGUCCGGAAAGAAAACCUUUCGAUUAAUACUCGGGGGGAAUGACGGUACCGGAAGAAUAAGCACCGGCUAACUUCGUGCCAGCAGCCGCGGUAAUACGAAGGGUGCAAGCGUUACUCGGAAUUACUGGGCGUAAAGCGUGCGUAGGUGGUUUGUUAAGUCUGAUGUGAAAGCCCUGGGCUCAACCUGGGAACUGCAUUGGAAACUGGCUUACUAGAGUGCGGUAGAGGGUAGUGGAAUUCCCGGUGUA
Molecule: ribosomal RNA, 579 nt
Filed under: Lysobacter sp. BvORR042
Lineage: Bacteria; Pseudomonadati; Pseudomonadota; Gammaproteobacteria; Lysobacterales; Lysobacteraceae
Also listed under: 4 other names
Description: bacterial SSU rRNA
Rfam family: Bacterial small subunit ribosomal RNA
Source: RNAcentral